AGCGAAUAUAAGUCUUAAUAGUGAACGUGGUUCGGCCAUCUGAAUGCCGAACUCUAAAUCCCACUUGAGAGUAUCCAAUCAUAAAAUAACUCGGCGUGCAAUGCGCCGAGCUCAGUAAGCUGUAACACCUCACUUCGCCGAGAAGGCGAAUGAGAUGACCUCGAUCAAUAAGGAUUUGGAAAUCCUUCUCGAACGAGACUUGGAUAGGUAACCAACCGCCCUCGCCGCAGUGCUGUUGAUGCCAACGAAAGAUGCUGCGAGAUCGGUUGAUUCUACAGCGACAGAGCUAUCUAUGCCGACUUAAGAUAUCACCGGUUGCUUUCACAGUGCUGUUGAUGCCAACGGAAGAUGUGUCAGCAAAAAGAGAAAAUAAAAAUCUCAAAGUUAUUGAGAGAGUUUGUGCAGGGCAGUUAUGUGUUGAAUUGGAAGGGGCCCCAAACGAUGUACAGCCUUCUCUAUUUAUAGCACCGGAUACCUUCAAGGUUGAGUUAAAAACCUACCCGGAUUAGGACUUCUUCUCCUGAUCAAACAUUAACUCGACCAGUCAUAUUUUCACUAUAAUUGUGAACCUAGUCCUUUAUUGAGCCGGAUUCACUUCCGGGUUAUUAAUCUUGCCGAGACUCCUCAUUGCACCAGGAUUCGACUCGUCAUGCAGCAUGACUUAACCGACCCAGGUUUGGAAGGCCACGACCUAACUGAUCCAGAACUAAACGAUCCCUGAUAUUUUGGGCCCAAACAAAUUCAUAAUAUAUAUAUAUACACACACACACACCACAUUAUACCAAAAAAUUAAAGAAUAAU
Molecule: long non-coding RNA, 801 nt
Filed under: Malus domestica (apple)
Lineage: Eukaryota; Viridiplantae; Streptophyta; Magnoliopsida; Rosales; Rosaceae
Description: long non-coding RNA (MDOM_LNC007485)
Source: RNAcentral